UACGAAGGGUGCAAGCGUUACUCGGAAUUACUGGGCGUAAAGCGUGCGUAGGUGGUUCGUUAAGUCUGAUGUGAAAGCCCUGGGCUCAACCUGGGAAUUGCAUUGGAUACUGGCGGGCUAGAGUACGGUAGAGGGUGGCGGAAUUCCUGGUGUAGCAGUGAAAUGCGUAGAUAUCAGGAGGAACAUCCGUGGCGAAGGCGGCCACCUGGACCAGUACUGACACUGAGGCACGAAAGCGUGGGGAGCAAACAGG
Molecule: ribosomal RNA, 253 nt
Filed under: uncultured bacterium
Lineage: Bacteria
Also listed under: 1 other name
Description: partial 16S ribosomal RNA
Rfam family: Bacterial small subunit ribosomal RNA
Source: RNAcentral